AGAAAACCAUUUUUUAAAAGAGUUACUUUGAUAGAGUAAAUAAUAGUUGGGAAUGGCCCUUUAUUUCUG
Non-coding RNA from Ochotona curzoniae (black-lipped pika), 69 nucleotides. The record is from the annotation of a RefSeq genome assembly. NCBI's taxonomy places the organism in Eukaryota, Metazoa, Chordata, Mammalia, Lagomorpha, Ochotonidae.